Non-coding RNA from Macaca mulatta (Rhesus monkey), 1651 nucleotides. The record is from RefSeq and is a predicted model, not a curated record. Lineage: Eukaryota; Metazoa; Chordata; Mammalia; Primates; Cercopithecidae.
UGCCCGUCUUGGCCACCUAAAAUGUUGGGAUUACAGGCGUGAGCCACCACAACUAGCCAGAGGCAUGCUGUGUUCUGUUGGCUCUUUUGCCUACCAGUGCCAGAAAUUUCCUAUACUUCUUGGCAUCUUGCUUUUCUCUCCUGUGAAAUAGGCAAUACUAGUUGCCCUAGAGAAGAAACUUAUCUAGAGAAAAAAAUGUACAAGGUAGACACAGCUGGUGAGUUACCCUUAUGCUAUUUCUAGUACUACCAAUUUCAUUUCUUCCAGAAUGAUUUAGAAUGCCACACAGUAGUUUUCCUGGUGCCAUGCUUGAAAUGGUGAAUCUAUUUGAAAGAAGUGAUUUUGUAGUCACAUUGAUGUUGCUGCUUGCUGCAAGCCAGGCAAGUCACUUAAUAGCUUUAUCCUUAAAAGAGGACUAAUGUCACCUACCUCAUGGGGUUAUGAUGAGGAUGAAAGGAGGUCUGUAACUAAGGCACUGAACAUGGUGUUUGAUACUCACUGGGUACCCAGUAAAUGUUAGUUUUCUUUGUCUAGACUAUAUAAUGCUCUUCAGUUUUUCACCCUGAUCAAAUUGCAUUUGUUAAAAAUUCCAAGUAAGACAUGGCACUGGGUACUUUAAAUAAAGGGGUGCUAAGGGAAGGUCAGCCUGCGGUAGAGGGCUGAAAAAGCCAGUUACAUUUGUUUGUUUUGUUUUGUAAUAAACAACAGUGGCUUCUCAUCUCCUUUCCCUGGUCCUGAGCCUGCUGAGUCACUGUUCCAGCCCUUGGGCCACAUGAUCUCAGGCUGUGUCUAUGGAAUACAGCAAAACCCACAAGAAACCAGCACUAAUAAAUGGCAGGUCAUUUUGAGGGAUUUUUGUUUGCGUUCCUGUGCUUGCUCUCCUGGUGAGAUAGGAAACCUUUAAUAAGACUUUUCCUAAAUGAUGUUGCAUGUGAAAUGCAGAUUUUUUUUCUCUGUUCUCCUAACAAAUGACCAUUUCAUAAGGUUUCUUUUUCAUUUUUUCUUCUUUCCUGCUUCUCAGUACAUUCCACAAAGAGCUUAUUCCUCUGCUGGUUACUGAUUGAUGGUUCUACUCUGUAUGCCCUUUAAUUUUGCAAUAAACCAACAAGGAGUUGAGACCACAAACUUAAAGAGAAUUGACUUAUUUGACUGGAUUCACUGGAGCCAACAGGCAGAUUUAGUCAUUUCAGUGUGGUCCUGGGGAGGGCAGGAGGAGUCCGUGAGAAGGAACACUGUGUUGUCAGUAACCAGACAUAAAAAAGCUUGCUUGUCCUCUCAUUCCAAAGCAUGUCGGCAUCUGUUCUCAGCAGUGAUCCCUUUCCAGGCCUUGAUGGAAGCAGGACAGCUUCUACGAGAUUUGCUCAGAACUCCAGGAUUCUGAAUUCAGUGGGACUUUAGAAGUGAAAAUAUUAGCAGAGUGGUUGGUGGCCAAGACAGAAAUAGAACCCAGGAGUCUGUGUCCUUUCCCUUGCCGUACCUACUGGAGCAUGGUUCCUCCCACCUAAAGACUCAGUGUGUCCAACUCUAACAAACAGAAUUCUAACAGUUGACUGGUUUCUUCUUGCCACUGAAAAUUUGUUUUAUACUUAAACAUUUUGUACAGUUUUUUCUUUAUGAAUGAUUUUGCAUUAAACAAAUGGGACUUGGUUAA